Molecule: long non-coding RNA, 361 nt
Filed under: Mytilus galloprovincialis (Mediterranean mussel)
Lineage: Eukaryota; Metazoa; Mollusca; Bivalvia; Mytilida; Mytilidae
Source: RNAcentral
AAACUGUCAAGGCUGUUCCAGAAUGUCUCCCACCCCCUCCAGGAAGGCACUUUAUUUUUAACCCCCAAAAAUUGAAAUAGAUUAUACCCCCACCCACCUAUAAAUGACCACAACACUUUUAAAAACCUCGAAAUUGAUAAUAUUACACUUUUAUCAACAUACUGACACCCAACUCCUGCUUUGGUACACCACCUUCUUUAUCCGUUUACUUUGAAAUACAACUACCCACAUUUAAACAAUAAGCCUACCUUGGAGUGGAGUGGAGGGGCCUUGCAGCAUAUUUUCAUCAAUAGAAAACAAAAACGGCAUUUAAAUUUCUUCUUUUGGCGUUGUUCAAAGAUUGAUUUUGAAUAAUUACUGC